CCUACGGGCGGCAGCAGUGAGGAAUAUUGGUCAAUGGGCGGGAGCCUGAACCAGCCAAGUCGCGUGAGGGAAGACGGUCCUAUGGAUUGUAAACCUCUUUAGGCGGGGAGCAAUGCCGGGCACGCGUGCCCGGAGGGAGAGUACCCGCAGAAUAAGCAUCGGCUAACUCCGUGCCAGCAGCCGCGGUAAUACGGAGGAUGCGACCGUUAUCCGGAUUUAUGGGGUUUAAAGGGUGCGUAGGCGGAUUUUUAAGUCAGCGGUAAAAUGUCCGGGCUCAACCCGGGCCGGCCGUUGAAACUGGGGAUCUUGAGUGGGCGAGAAGUAUGCGGAAGGCGUGGUGUAGCGGUGAAAUGCAUAGAUAUCACGCAGAACUCCGAUUGCGAAGGCAGCAUACCGGCGCCCGACUGACGCUGAGGCACGAAAGCGUGGGGAUCGAACAGGAUUAGAUACCCGUGUAGUC
This 460-nucleotide ribosomal RNA is filed under the name uncultured bacterium. RNAcentral's name for it is "partial 16S ribosomal RNA". It matches the Rfam family "Bacterial small subunit ribosomal RNA", at positions 338 to 795 of the family's 1533-position model. The record is from RNAcentral.